UACGGAGGGGACUAGUGUUGUUCGGAAUUACUGGGCGUAAAGCGCACGUAGGCGGAUUUGUAAGUCAGGGGUGAAAUCCCGGGGCUCAACCUCGGAACUGCCUUUGAUACUGCAAAUCUCGAGUCCGGAAGAGGUGAGUGGAAUUCCUAGUGUAGAGGUGAAAUUCGUAGAUAUUAGGAAGAACACCAGUGGCGAAGGCGGCUCACUGGUCCGGUACUGACGCUGAGGUGCGAAAGCGUGGGGAGCAAACAGG
Molecule: ribosomal RNA, 253 nt
Filed under: uncultured bacterium
Lineage: Bacteria
Description: partial 16S ribosomal RNA
Rfam family: Bacterial small subunit ribosomal RNA
Source: RNAcentral